AGCAAGUAAAACUGUAUGCCUAAGAUACACAAAAGCGGGCCCCUUUUUUAUAAAAAAAAAAAUAAGCAAAGGCAAACUAUUCUCUUCUUCGAGGUGUGAGAAAACGCCCGGACUAUCACAUUCACACGGUUUACAGAAUCAAUCAAUACCUUUGAACCCUCUACUCCAAAAGCUACGCACGCAGAUGCCAUCAUCCUCAGCAAAACGAAAUGAAAAAAAAAGAACAAAAGAAAACAAAAACAUAUGUAACACGGACCCUUACAAUGUGAUUCAUUCGCUGCUGUCGUCGCUUUCUUCUUCACACAACGGCGCGGACUGGAUUAUGACCCGAGCUCCAGAAGGAAGCCUGCAGUUUUUUUUUUAAGAGCGGUGUUUUUUUUGUCAGUAUCUAGAGACAAACACCAGCAGACGGAGAUGAUGGAUGCAUAUGAGAGAGACAGUGAGAGGCAACUCAACUUUCUUCGAUCUUGAUCAUGUCCUUCUCCUCGCGGAACAACGACUCGGCUCUCGCACAAGACAGUUUGCCCGGCGGCGACGGAUCGGCCAUCCUGUUGCUCGCGCUCUUCGAUGAGCCCAGCGGUGAGGACAUGGUACUGUGUUCUUGUUGGAUAGAGCCGUUUCUCACGUCAGAGGCAGGGGGGGAGAGUACUGUUCCACUCCUCGACUGCUUACACGAUAUGAUCCUGAUGGUCUGUGGGAGGCACCUGAAACUACCUGCCUCACAGGAGCUUUCCGUGUUGCUUUUGGGAUGUGCUGCUCUGUACACUCUGAAAAAUGUUCAAAACAAAAGGAGGCACUGGGUCAAGAAAUCAGUAUUUGAACAUCGGAUUGCUUGUGCAACAUUAAAGACAAAAAAAAAUACUAAGA
Molecule: unclassified non-coding RNA, 867 nt
Filed under: Zea mays
Lineage: Eukaryota; Viridiplantae; Streptophyta; Magnoliopsida; Poales; Poaceae
Description: misc RNA Zm00001eb039030
Source: RNAcentral